UACGUAGGGACCGAGCGUUGUCCGGAAUCAUUGGGCGUAAAGAGCGUGUAGGCGGCCACUUAAGUCCUGCGUGAAAUCUUGCGGCUCAACCGCAAGCGGUCGUGGGAAACUGGGUGGCUAGAGUGCGGGAGAGGAGAGUGGAAUUCCUGGUGUAGCGGUGGAAUGCGCAGAUAUCAGGAGGAACACCUAUGGCGAAGGCAGCUCUCUGGUACGUGACUGACGCUGAGACGCGAAAGCGUGGGGAGCGAACAGG
Molecule: ribosomal RNA, 253 nt
Filed under: uncultured bacterium
Lineage: Bacteria
Description: partial 16S ribosomal RNA
Rfam family: Bacterial small subunit ribosomal RNA
Source: RNAcentral